This 253-nucleotide ribosomal RNA is filed under the name uncultured bacterium. Its description in RNAcentral is "partial 16S ribosomal RNA". It matches the Rfam family "Bacterial small subunit ribosomal RNA", at positions 524 to 776 of the family's 1533-position model. The record is from RNAcentral.
UACGAAGGGGGCUAGCGUUGUUCGGAUUUACUGGGCGUAAAGCGUACGUAGGCGGGUGGUUAAGUCAGAGGUGAAAUCCUGGAGCUCAACUUCAGAACUGCCUUUGAUACUGGCCAUCUUGAGUUCGGGAGAGGUGAGUGGAACUGCUAGUGUAGAGGUGAAAUUCGUAGAUAUUAGCAAGAACACCAGUGGCGAAGGCGGCUCACUGGCCCGAUACUGACGCUGAGGUACGAAAGCGUGGGGAGCAAACAGG